GAUGAACGCUGGCGGCGUGCCUAAUACAUGCAAGUCGAGCGAACGGACGAGAAGCUUGCUUCUCUGAUGUUAGCGGCGGACGGGUGAGUAACACGUGGAUAACCUACCUAUAAGACUGGGAUAACUUCGGGAAACCGGAGCUAAUACCGGAUAAUAUUUUGAACCGCAUGGUUCAAAAGUGAAAGACGGUCUUGCUGUCACUUAUAGAUGGAUCCGCGCUGCAUUAGCUAGUUGGUAAGGUAACGGCUUACCAAGGCAACGAUGCAUAGCCGACCUGAGAGGGUGAUCGGCCACACUGGAACUGAGACACGGUCCAGACUCCUACGGGAGGCAGCAGUAGGGAAUCUUCCGCAAUGGGCGAAAGCCUGACGGAGCAACGCCGCGUGAGUGAUGAAGGUCUUCGGAUCGUAAAACUCUGUUAUUAGGGAAGAACAUAUGUGUAAGUAACUGUGCACAUCUUGACGGUACCUAAUCAGAAAGCCACGGCUAACUACGUGCCAGCAGCCGCGGUAAUACGUAGGUGGCAAGCGUUAUCCGGAAUUAUUGGGCGUAAAGCGCGCGUAGGCGGUUCUUUAAGUCUGAUGUGAAAGCCCACGGCUCAACCGUGGAGGGUCAUUGGAAACUGGAAAACUUGAGUGCAGAAGAGGAAAGUGGAAUUCCAUGUGUAGCGGUGAAAUGCGCAGAGAUAUGGAGGAACACCAGUGGCGAAGGCGACUUUCUGGUCUGUAACUGACGCUGAUGUGCGAAAGCGUGGGGAUCAAACAGGAUUAGAUACCCUGGUAGUCCACGCCGUAAACGAUGAGUGCUAAGUGUUAGGGGGUUUCCGCCCCUUAGUGCUGCAGCUAACGCAUUAAGCACUCCGCCUGGGGAGUACGACCGCAAGGUUGAAACUCAAAGGAAUUGACGGGGACCCGCACAAGCGGUGGAGCAUGUGGUUUAAUUCGAAGCAACGCGAAGAACCUUACCAAAUCUUGACAUCCUUUGACAACUCUAGAGAUAGAGCCUUCCCCUUCGGGGGACAAAGUGACAGGUGGUGCAUGGUUGUCGUCAGCUCGUGUCGUGAGAUGUUGGGUUAAGUCCCGCAACGAGCGCAACCCUUAAGCUUAGUUGCCAUCAUUAAGUUGGGCACUCUAAGUUGACUGCCGGUGACAAACCGGAGGAAGGUGGGGAUGACGUCAAAUCAUCAUGCCCCUUAUGAUUUGGGCUACACACGUGCUACAAUGGACAAUACAAAGGGCAGCGAAACCGCGAGGUCAAGCAAAUCCCAUAAAGUUGUUCUCAGUUCGGAUUGUAGUCUGCAACUCGACUACAUGAAGCUGGAAUCGCUAGUAAUCGUAGAUCAGCAUGCUACGGUGAAUACGUUCCCGGGUCU
This 1372-nucleotide ribosomal RNA is filed under the name uncultured bacterium. RNAcentral describes it as "bacterial SSU rRNA". It matches the Rfam family "Bacterial small subunit ribosomal RNA", at positions 28 to 1381 of the family's 1533-position model. The record is from RNAcentral.